UACAGAGGUGGCAAGCGUUGUUCGGAAUUAUUGGGCGUAAAGGGCGUGUAGGUGGCCCUCUAAGUCAGAUGUGAAAUCCCCCGGCUUAACCUGGGAACUGCGUCUGAUACUGGACGGCUUGAGUAUGGGAGAGGAACGUAGAAUUCCAGGUGUAGCGGUGAAAUGCGUAGAUAUCUGGAGGAAUACCGGUGGCGAAGGCGGCGUUCUGGACCAUAACUGACACUGAAUCGCGAAAGCUAGGGGAGCAAACGGG
Molecule: ribosomal RNA, 253 nt
Filed under: uncultured bacterium
Lineage: Bacteria
Description: partial 16S ribosomal RNA
Rfam family: Bacterial small subunit ribosomal RNA
Source: RNAcentral